This 303-nucleotide ribosomal RNA is filed under the name uncultured bacterium. RNAcentral describes it as "partial 16S ribosomal RNA". It matches the Rfam family "Bacterial small subunit ribosomal RNA", at positions 507 to 807 of the family's 1533-position model. The record is from RNAcentral.
AGCAGUAGCCGCGGUAAUACGUAGGGUGCAAGCGUUAAUCGGAAUUACUGGGCGUAAAGCGUGCGCAGGCGGUUUGUUAAGACAGAUGUGAAAUCCCCGGGCUCAACCUGGGAACUGCAUUUGUGACUGGCAAGCUAGAGUAUGGCAGAGGGGGGUGGAAUUCCGCGUGUAACAGUGAAAUGCGUAGAUAUGCGGAGGAACACCGAUGGCGAAGGCAAUCCCCUGGACCUGUACUGACGCUCAUGCACGAAAGCGUGGGGAGCAAACAGGAUUAGAUACCCCUGUAGUCCCUGUCUCUUAUAC